UUACUUACCUGGAUGGGGUCAAUGGAUGAUCAAGAAGGUCCAUGGCCUAGGUUAGUGACCUCCAUUGCACUGAGGAGGGGUGCUCGCCUAAGAUCUACCCAAGUGGUGGAGUCUACAUCAUAAUUUGUGACAGGGGGACUUGCGUUCGCGCAGUCCCCGC
Molecule: small nuclear RNA, 160 nt
Filed under: Daucus carota subsp. sativus
Lineage: Eukaryota; Viridiplantae; Streptophyta; Magnoliopsida; Apiales; Apiaceae
Description: sRNA DCAR_sn00220
Rfam family: U1 spliceosomal RNA
About the family: U1 is a small nuclear RNA (snRNA) component of the spliceosome (involved in pre-mRNA splicing). Its 5' end forms complementary base pairs with the 5' splice junction, thus defining the 5' donor site of an intron.
Source: RNAcentral